AAUACUGCUUUUGUAAUGCAGAGGUGUAGAUUUGCUGCUUCUUAGCUUUGAAGCUCUGUUGAUUGUGUGUUUCUUUGGUUCUUUUACCUUUUGCAUCAUGAUUUGCUGAGGUUGGUUACUUAGGUAAUAACUCGAAAAAGGGUGAUUUAGCGUUAGCUUGUUUAGGACUAAUUAGAGGUGUAAGGGUAUUGCUCUCUAAAGCUAGUGUUGGUUGUGAUAAAUAAUACGUACCCUUUUAUAGCUAGUUGAUGAGGUUUUAUUUUAAUAAAAUCCUGCUGCGAAGAUGUGGCAGGGUGACUAAGAGAAUAAAUAUGAUUGGGUUAAUUAAUAGGUUAAAGGUACCUAUAUUUAAUUUUUGUGUUAUAACAACUUUUUUCUCUAAGUAUUCUUUAUUCUUGCUCUCAUCCAUUAAAUUUUUUAUUCUAAGAUAAUGGCAAAAUAAGUAGUUUAAACGGGUUGUUUUUUUCUCGUAGGCCAUCGGACUGUUUAUUAAAAACAUUUCCAUUAUUUAUAAAUUAAUGGUACUGCCUGCCCCAUGUUUAUAUAAAUGGCCGCAGUAUAUUGACUGUGCUAAGGUAGCAUAAUUAAUUGCCUUAUAAUUGAAGGAUUGUUUGAAAGGUGAUACCAGAUGGCUAAAAAAUGCAGCUUAUUGUCGAAUUUGGUUUGUUGGUGCAGAACCCAACAAUUUAAAAUAAGACGGAAAGACCCCGAGAGCUUUAUUAAUGUUUAAAUUUACUUGGGGCAAGGGCAUAUUUUUCAUAUGUUUUAGGAUCCUUUAAAUAGGGAAACAGGUUUAAGUUACCUCGGGGAUAACUAGGUAAGAGACGAGGAGAGUUCAUAUCGAUUUGUUUAUUUGCCAUCUCGAUGUUGACUUGGGGUGAGCACAUUGGCGCAGGAGUUUUUGUGGUGGGUCUGUUCGACCUUAAAUCCCUUCAUGAGUUGAGUUAAGACCGGCGUGAGCCAGGUCGGUUCUUAUCUAUUGGUGGUUUAGAUUAGUACGAAAGGAGUUUCUAAGCUUUAUGUUGGGCGUGUACUCUUAGGAGUAGUCUGCUCUGCAAAGGCAGACUCAGUGAUUCGAACUCACGC
This 1086-nucleotide ribosomal RNA is filed under the name Orientocreadium sp. HS. Its description in RNAcentral is "16S ribosomal RNA". The stretch from base 691 to 981 matches the Rfam family "Archaeal large subunit ribosomal RNA", at positions 2151 to 2715 of the family's 2987-position model. Lineage: Eukaryota; Metazoa; Platyhelminthes; Trematoda; Plagiorchiida; Orientocreadiidae. The record is from RNAcentral.